Molecule: long non-coding RNA, 2711 nt
Organism: Carassius gibelio (silver crucian carp)
Lineage: Eukaryota; Metazoa; Chordata; Actinopteri; Cypriniformes; Cyprinidae
Exons: 3
Source: RefSeq, a predicted model, not a curated record
UUGAGCAAGUCAUUGACAUAUUUGCAUGCAUAAAACAACUUAAUUUAUUCAAUUAUUUCUUAAAGUAGCCUAAUGAAAAGAUUUCCCCCUCCAGAACUGCACUGAGAGUCGUGCUGCGUUUACUUCAUGAGCAUUUGACCGUUUUAUAUGAGUAAAACUAGCGUCACAUCACAUACACGCAACUGUAAAGGUAUUCACGUUAACACGUCAAAAUAAGAGUCCGGUUAAAUUGAUUAAUUGAUUAAUACAAUUAAAUUUAACAAUUAAAAGAGAAAAAAAUAAACAGAAAAAAAUGGAAUCCAGAAAAAUUAAAAUGGAAAAAAAUGAAUCUGGGAAAAAAUAAAAUGGAUUUUAUAGGGCCCUAAAAAGGUAAAGUAAAGUAAUAAGUAGUGAAGUUACUUUUCAAAUGCAGUAACUAGUAAAGUAAUCUCAUUACAAUUUACAGAAGUAAAUAAGAAGUUUUGAGAAACUACCCGAAUACCGUUGGUCCCCAAACUACAGUUACAAAAAGGGACCCACUGCCAUACCAGUUCAUUACUUAAUGCAACUGAAUUAUAAUAAUCUCUCAUCUUUUUCUUUCUUGUUAAACAUUUUGUACAUCCGUGUGUCUAAUUGUAGUGCCACAUGGCCAAACGGGAUGUUCUGAAGUAGACUCCAUGUCAGAAGCUGUGGCCGGCAAAGGCUUUCUGUUGGGUUGCAUUUCUUGCAAAAGAAGAGAGGAAGUGCCCGGUUGUGCUGUUGUUGAUUGGCACUACAAAGGAGCUGGGUCUGAGGAGUUUAUCCAUAUUUUUCAGUAUGAAUACAAUAACCCCACCAUUCUUCAUGAAGACUAUGAGGGAAGAUUAGAGUAGAAAGGAACUAUGGGUACAAAGGAUGUGCAAACUGAUUCCAUAUUUAUUCACAAUGUCACAUAUAAUGACACUGGGACUUACCUCUGUACCUUCCACCAUACGCUGUACCUUCCUCUGAAUGAGGAACAUGUGGAAAUAAGUAAAGAGGUUGAACUCACAGUUCUGGAAAUCGGUGAGAUCCAUUUUAAGACCCUUUUACAAGUGAUACAUUUGCAUUCCAUCAUGUAAUCUGAAUAUCUGAAUUUGUUACUCCCCAAGCAAACCCUGAGCUGACGGCUGUGAUUUCUGAGAUCAUGAUGUACAUGUUGAUCGUAGUUCUGCAGCUGUGGAUGAUUGGAGUGCUGAUUUACUGCUAUAGAAAGAUCUACGCUGAGAACGAAGCUCGGGAGGCCAGAAAAGCUGCACGCUCUCAAAGCAAGCACGUUGAGUUUAAAGACAUUUGUGAUGGCAUUUAUUUGGAAUAACUACAGUUUUGGUUAGUAGGCUUAUUAUUUUCAGUGAAUAGAGCCUAGGAUUACUUAAUUAUUGCUGAUAUAUUUGAUGCAUGGUCUUAUACGAAUAAUUCAUUAAAAAAAAUUAAAUUAGCUGAAAAUGGACUCUCAGGCUAUCAAAGAUAAAUAGAUUAAUUUGUUUAUUAAUUAAAAAAGAUUUGGAGGAAUUUUGCACUUGUUUACCAAUGGAUCCUCUGCAGUUAUUGGGGGCCGUCAGAUUGUGAUAAAAACAUCCUAAUAGUACACAAGACUCCAGUCCAUCAACUAACAUCUUGUUAAGUGAAAUCUGUAUGUAAAAAAAAAAAAAACAAGUACAUCAUUAAGACUUUAAACCAGUGAUCCUAAAAUCUGGCUCGUGAGAUGCACUUUCCUGCAGAGUUUACCUCUAACCCUAAUCAAACACACCUGAGUUGUCUACAGGGUCCCUAGAAAAACACAGGUACGUUUGUUUGAUUAGGGGUUGGAGCUAAACUCAUUUAGAUCUUGUGAGGUAGAUUUGAGGAUCACUGCUUUAAACUGUUGCUUCUGGUCAAAAUACGAGUCCAUAAUAACAGUAUAAUAAAAGUCCAUUCCCUGUUGCACACUCACAUCAAAAUACACCAAAUCCUUAGGACCGUUUCCUUUGUAAAUGGUGCUGAGUCUUUGCAUAUUUCUCUCCUGAUUCAGAUGAGACAGAUUUUUUUACUGGAGGAAGAAAUAUUAUGGAUGGAAGACUUGCAUUUUAGAAAGCAGCACCGAUUUAAAGGUGAAAAUUUCCCAAUGAUGUAUUAAACAUCAAGGCAUGUUGAUUAUUGUGAUUGAUUUAUGUAUUUAUUUUUUCAGCUGUAUGGGCUCUCAUUCCAAAGGCAACCAUACACUCCAGAGUAUCCAUUGGUGAGCUAAAUUUCUCCAAAUCUGAUUUAAUGAAUAAACAAAUUCAUCUACAUCCUUGAUGACUAGAGGGGAGUCAAUUUUCAUUUUUGGAUAAGAAGGAUAGCCAGUAUAAACCUCUAUUUCUAGUGAAUUAAACUCACUAAUUAAUUAAUUACUCACCCUCAUGUUGUUCCAAACCUUUUACGGUUGAUCCACUGAUGUCACAUUGACUAUUUUAACAAUGUCCUUGCUACGUUUCUGAGUCUGGGAACCUUUCAGUUACAUUGCUGUCUAUGCAAGGUCAGAAAGCUCUCAAAUUAAGUUGUGUUCUGAGGUGUUACAGGUUUGGAACAACAUGAGGGUAAGUAAUUACAGAAUUGAAUUUUUUUGGGGGAACUAUCCCUUUAACUGGGAACUACAUCAGUUUGGAGAAACUAAAAUGGUUUACAGUAAAAAAAAAAAAAAAAAAAACUUCUGGUUUCUUGAUUUGCUUGUUUAUUGACUGGUGAUUAAAAAG